AUGCCCUCGCCACGUUCUUCGGUCCGCUCGGUCGGCUCGGUUAAAGCCCGGACCGGACCGAAGUUUUGUCGGGCUGGAUUCCUAAGCUCGGACCGGCCGAUUUUUUCAGCGGGUCAGGACCGAGCCGGCCCGAGCCGAGCGGGCCACGAGCCGGACCGCGGGACCGGACCGGACCGUGUCGUCCACCCUGACAGCCAGCACAGCAAGCAAGUUCAGGCUGAACCGUCGGAGGUCGAUCGACCAAAUGGCUUUGGCGCCGGUGGAGUUCCUGGGCGCGAGGGACGGCAGGGAGGCGCUCUACUACGCCAUCAUACUGUGGCUGUCCGUCAUGUCGUGGAUCAUCUUCACCUGUGA
RNAcentral lists this ribosomal RNA (354 nucleotides) under Triticum aestivum (bread wheat). Its description in RNAcentral is "partial small subunit ribosomal RNA". The record is from RNAcentral. Lineage: Eukaryota; Viridiplantae; Streptophyta; Magnoliopsida; Poales; Poaceae.